CCAGCCUCCUCUCCUCCGGGUCUGCUUGAACCAAGUGUCCGAUCUCCCCUACCCGCUCAGCCUUAGUGCGCACCGACUUCAACUUCCCACCCAUCACCAGGGGGAGAUUGAUUCUGGAAAAACAGGAUGUUGCCACCACAGCAUGAUGAUCCUUUCCCGCUGCUGAUCAGUCUGUGUUUUGUGAAAUUCGCAAGAGGAAUGAACACUCUGGCUACUGUGUUACAAGUGGGUGGGGGGUUGCAGGGAGAAGGGAGAAAAGGAUCAGGGAGACAAUUUAAGAUGCUCUAGUGAUAUUACAUUUGAAAGAGAUGUCUAAUCAAUAAAUAUCGAAUGAG
This is a non-coding RNA of Saimiri boliviensis boliviensis (Bolivian squirrel monkey), 335 nucleotides long. Lineage: Eukaryota; Metazoa; Chordata; Mammalia; Primates; Cebidae. The record is from RefSeq and is a predicted model, not a curated record.